UCUAAUCGAAUAUUGCUCUUAAACGGAGAAUGCAUCAAACAAAAUCCAAAGUGUCUUGCAAGUCUGUAGCAUGAGCAAAAAAUUGUAAAUAUGUAGAACCAAAUUAUUGAAGUACAGAAGAGCGAGCAAGCUAAAUCAUGUAUAAGAGAUUGGCCUGGUUCGGGAUAGAUUCUUCACUGUACCUGAAGGAUUGACUCAAUCUCUUCUUUAGAAUUCUGCAGAUUUUGUAAUUACUCGUGUAAGCAAGCAUACAUUGCCACCAUAAGAAUAAUAAAGUCAUACAUUGCCACCAUAAGAAUAAUAAAGUUAGAGUAAUGAUAUGACCACCACCUCUUGUGCACAAAUAAUAUUAUAUAAACUAAUGCAACAUAAUAUGAUUGGUUAAACAAAAACAUUACAUGGCCCUCAUAAUUUAAUAAUUUAUUAAUUUAUUAUUAUUAUAUAUUUUCAGU
This 452-nucleotide long non-coding RNA is filed under the name Citrus maxima (pomelo). Its description in RNAcentral is "long non-coding RNA (CMAX_LNC001389)". The record is from RNAcentral. Lineage: Eukaryota; Viridiplantae; Streptophyta; Magnoliopsida; Sapindales; Rutaceae.